RNAcentral lists this ribosomal RNA (468 nucleotides) under uncultured bacterium. RNAcentral's name for it is "partial 16S ribosomal RNA". It matches the Rfam family "Bacterial small subunit ribosomal RNA", at positions 28 to 507 of the family's 1533-position model. The record is from RNAcentral.
GAUGAACGCUGGCGGCGUGCUUAACACAUGCAAGUCGAACGGAAAGGCCCAAGCUUGCUUGGGUACUCGAGUGGCGAACGGGUGAGUAACACGUGGGUGAUCUGCCCUGCACUUCGGGAUAAGCCUGGGAAACUGGGUCUAAUACCGGAUAGGACGAUGGUUUGGAUGCCAUUGUGGAAAGUUUUUUCGGUGUGGGAUGAGCUCGCGGCCUAUCAGCUUGUUGGUGGGGUAAUGGCCUACCAAGGCGUCGACGGGUAGCCGGCCUGAGAGGUUGUACGGCCACAUUGGGACUGAGAUACGGCCCAGACUCCUACGGGAGGCAGCAGUGGGGAAUAUUGCACAAUGGGCGCAAGCCUGAUGCAGCGACGCCGCGUGGGGGAUGACGGCCUUCGGGUUGUAAACUCCUUUCGCUAGGGACGAAGCGUUUUUGUGACGGUACCUGGAGAAGAAGCACCGGCUAACUACGUG